GAGGCGGUACUGUGAUCGCCCCACUUUACAGAUGAGAGGACAGACACACAGAGCCACGGAAACCAGCCCCGGGUCACACAGCUGGGAAGGGGCCGUGACUUUCCUACUCAGGCCCGCGGCACACAGAGCCCCAGAGAAAGGCUCAGGAGAAGGGAGACGCGUGGGACUAAUGGUCUUGGAAGCACAGCCGGGGUGACGGAAGCAGUGACAGCAUCUUCAUGCAGCCAGAAGCCGCUGACUCUACGAAGAAUGGAAGACGGCCUUGAGUGCUUUCCAGGUUUGAACUUCACUAAGGAAAAAGAAUAGCCUGUACAAAUGUCAAAGCCCGAAGUGAAAACUGAAGUCCUCAGCAUAAGCAGGAACCAUUCCCAGAUGGGAGGGAAAGUGCCUAGGAAGUUGCUGAGUCCACACUCAAGUUGUUGUUUGAUAAGUUUUACAAAAUGACAAA
RNAcentral lists this long non-coding RNA (448 nucleotides) under Homo sapiens (human). RNAcentral's name for it is "HSALNT0331613". Lineage: Eukaryota; Metazoa; Chordata; Mammalia; Primates; Hominidae. The record is from RNAcentral.